Molecule: non-coding RNA, 607 nt
Organism: Macaca mulatta (Rhesus monkey)
Lineage: Eukaryota; Metazoa; Chordata; Mammalia; Primates; Cercopithecidae
Source: RefSeq, a predicted model, not a curated record
AUAUAUUAGGUGCCACUUAAUUGUUAGCUAUUUUUAUUACCAUCAUUAUUAUUCCUUAGUUAGGAACUUGAACUCUGGGGAAAACCUCAGAAUUGUUUCUCAGUCAGGAAAGAUCAGGGGUGUCUGAGGAUGCUGGAGAAAGAAGAACCUCUUGAAACAGUGCUGGGAAGGACCAGAAGGAGGAGUUUCAUUUUCUAAAAGGGAGAUGUCGUAUAUGUGGCCAUUGGAGUUCCAUUUUAGAUCCCUUCAUACUCAUUCUUGGAAGAAAGGCCUGAGGAAACAGGCUUCUCCCACUUGCCAAGCAACAGAGUGAAAGCCAUCACUCCCCAUCCAGAGGCUUUGCUUUCCUCACCUCCAAAGACACAUCCCUUCCACGUGCGUCCAGUGAAGAGCAACAUCGGGUCGUAGGUGAGCAUCUUGGCUGAUGGAGGAGCUCCUACUACCACGCUGGUCCCAUAGUUCAUAUGGCAGGAUGCCAGAGCAUCAAUCUGAGUUUAAAAUAGAGGAGAUCGUUUGCUUCCUAUGUCUCUUAUAGUGUAACAUAAGCUCUGAAAUGACCUAUGUACUAUGGCAAAGUCAUGGAAUUAAAUUAAGCCAUCUUCUGUUU